Molecule: transfer RNA, 73 nt
Filed under: Pseudothermotoga hypogea DSM 11164 = NBRC 106472
Lineage: Bacteria; Thermotogati; Thermotogota; Thermotogae; Thermotogales; Thermotogaceae
Rfam family: tRNA
About the family: Transfer RNA (tRNA) molecules are approximately 80 nucleotides in length.
Source: Rfam by way of RNAcentral
GGGCUCGUAGCUCAGUAGGUAGAGCGCCCGGCUCAUAACCGGGUGGUCGGGGGUUCGAAGCCUCCCGAGCCCA